This 326-nucleotide long non-coding RNA is filed under the name Elaeis guineensis (African oil palm). RNAcentral describes it as "long non-coding RNA (EGUI_LNC037620)". Lineage: Eukaryota; Viridiplantae; Streptophyta; Magnoliopsida; Arecales; Arecaceae. The record is from RNAcentral.
AUCUUUAACCCAUAAAGAACAGCUUGAUCAUUAAUCUUCAAAGAGAUGAUUCAUAGACUAGAUAUAACUUAACAGUCAAUGAGCUCAAAAGCUCAUUUUCUCCAGUCGGUAAAUCAUUUCUUCUCAUACGUGACCUAGUUAAAAAGAACCAUCUGUAUACUUCAGGUUAUUUGGUUCUGGAUCUCUUAGACCCAAUGGUAUUUACUAUUUGCUCAAAUAAUUUCUCAAAUGCAUCACUAUGCAAAUGAUCAAGAACCAAAUCUAAAUGAUAAUCUCCGAGAUUAGGUGCCCACAGCCUAGUGCAACUUUUGCACCAUUGCCAACUA